UCCCUGAUGGUCUAGUGGUUAGGAUUCAGCACUUUCACUGCUGUGGCCUGGGUUUGAUUCCCAGUCAGGGAA
RNAcentral lists this transfer RNA (72 nucleotides) under Pelodiscus sinensis (Chinese soft-shelled turtle). It matches the Rfam family "tRNA". Rfam says of the family: Transfer RNA (tRNA) molecules are approximately 80 nucleotides in length. Their secondary structure includes four short double-helical elements and three loops (D, anti-codon, and T loops). The record is from Rfam by way of RNAcentral. Lineage: Eukaryota; Metazoa; Chordata; Testudines; Trionychidae.